RNAcentral lists this ribosomal RNA (413 nucleotides) under uncultured bacterium. RNAcentral describes it as "bacterial SSU rRNA". It matches the Rfam family "Bacterial small subunit ribosomal RNA", at positions 29 to 489 of the family's 1533-position model. The record is from RNAcentral.
AACGAACGCUGGCGGCAGGCCUAACACAUGCAAGUCGAGCGCGCCUUCGGGUGAGCGGCGGACGGGUGAGUAACACGUGGGAAUACGCCUUUCGGUGCGGAAUAGUCUUGGGAAACUGAGGGUAAUACCGCAUACGCCCCUUGGGGGAAAGAUUUAUCGCCGAAAGAUUAGCCCGCGUUGGAUCAGGUAGUUGGUGGGGUAAUGGCCUACCAAGCCGACGAUCCAUAGCUGGUUUGAGAGGAUGAUCAGCCACACUGGGACUGAGACACGGCCCAGACUCCUACGGGAGGCAGCAGUGGGGAAUCUUAGACAAUGGGGGCAACCCUGAUCUAGCCAUGCCGCGUGAGUGAUGAAGGCCUUAGGGUCGUAAAGCUCUUUCAGCUGGGAAGAUAAUGACGGUACCAGCAGAAGAG